Molecule: ribosomal RNA, 807 nt
Filed under: Lissopterus quadrinotatus
Lineage: Eukaryota; Metazoa; Arthropoda; Insecta; Coleoptera; Carabidae
Description: partial 16S ribosomal RNA
Rfam family: Bacterial large subunit ribosomal RNA (bases 1-585)
Source: RNAcentral
GUCCUUUUGAUUAUAAUUUAAGGUCUGACCUGCCCACUGAAAUUAUUUUAAAUGGCCGCAGUAAUUUGACUGUGCAAAGGUAGCAUAAUCAUUAGUUUUUUAAUUAAAAGCUUGUAUGAAGGGUUGGACGAGAUAAAAUCUGUCUCUAUUUAAUUUAUUAUAAAAUUUAAUUUUUAAGUUAAAAAGCUUAAAUUUUUUUAAAAGACGAGAAGACCCUAUAGAUCUUUAUAGUUUUGAUUUUGAAUUUAAUUAAUAAAUUUUUAGGAUUUAUGAUUUAAACUAUUUUAUUGGGGUAAUAGAAAGAUUAAAAUAAUUCUUUUUUUCUUUAAACAUUUAUUUAUGUUUUUAAUGAUCCAAUUUUAUUGAUUAUAAGAUUAAGUUACCUUAGGGAUAACAGCGUAAUUUUUUUAGAGAGUUCUUAUCGAUAAAAAAGUUUGCGACCUCGAUGUUGGAUUAAAGAUUAGUUUAGGUGUAGAAGUUUAAAUUUUUGGUCUGUUCGACCAUUAAAUCUUUACAUGAUCUGAGUUCAGACCGGCGUAAGCCAGGUCGGUUUCUAUCUUUAAUAAUUUUAAAAUAUUUUAGUACGAAAGGACCAAAUAUUUAAUAUAUUUAUAUUUAAUUUUUUGAAUAUUAUUAAAAAUUAUUUUGGCAGAAUAGUGCAAUGAAUUUAGAAUUCAUAAAUGUAAUUUUAUUACAAAUAAUACUUGUUUUUUUUAGAUGUAAUUUUCUCUUUAGUGUGUAUAUUUUUAUUAAUUAUUUGUGUUUUAGUUGGGGUUGCUUUUUUAACAUUAUUAGAGCGAAGGUUUU